RNAcentral lists this ribosomal RNA (216 nucleotides) under uncultured bacterium. RNAcentral describes it as "partial 16S ribosomal RNA". It matches the Rfam family "Bacterial small subunit ribosomal RNA", at positions 526 to 779 of the family's 1533-position model. The record is from RNAcentral.
CGUAGAAGACAAGUGUUAUUCAUCUUUAACAGGUUUAAAGGGUACCUAGACUGAAAAUCAAGCCAUAGAAGGGACUAAUUUCUAGAGUUUAUUUUCAAGGUGGAACUAUCUGAGUAACAAUAAAAUGUACAAAUACAUUUGGGACGGAUAGCGGCGAAGGCAAUCUUGUAUGUAAAACUGACGUUGAGGGACGAAGCCCGGGGAGCGAGAAGGAUU